RNAcentral lists this long non-coding RNA (985 nucleotides) under Cyanistes caeruleus (blue tit). RNAcentral's name for it is "lncRNA (ENSCCEG00000013156.1)". Lineage: Eukaryota; Metazoa; Chordata; Aves; Passeriformes; Paridae. The record is from RNAcentral.
CACAAGGGAGUGAAGAAGCUCAACUCAGAGCAAAGCAUUUUGGCAGCAUCAGCAUAAAAUCCAAAUAUACCUUCUAACUUGCCAUUCUAGGUUUUAGAAAAAGCAUCUGGCAAUAAAUCUUACCUGUAUUGAAUGGGAAUUUUGUUGUGCCUGCUCUGCUUACACCAAGGGGCACAAUGUUAAAGGUUGGUGAGGAAACAGAAGAAAUCUGCACCUGACCAGCAUUAUAUCUUGAUUUCUAAAUUUGGAGAAGGAUUAAUUUAUGUUUUAGUUGAAAACACCAGUUACUGCCAAUGGCUCAAAGCAAUGGUAACCUGACACAUUACAAAAGUCUCCGUUUCUGUCAGAUGCAUCUAAUUUUCCUCAAGGCUGAAUUUUCUGAGUAUAUGGGGAGGAAAAUAAAAAAUAAACAAAUCAGAUGGUAGCAUAUAGGCACUGAAGUACAAGGGGGUACAAACAGUGGAGAUGCAAGAACGGCAACUCAUAUGUUUAAGCACGUAUGAUUAAACUUCCACCUUUAUUUAUUUACUAACAAAGAAGAAUGAAGACUAAAAAUAUUCCAUAACCAAGCAUAGCCAAAAGCAUUGAUACAUGGACCGGGCUGAAAACUCUCUUGAUUAUAACACAUGUGAGGGGCCUCAGGAUUCACAAACAAGUUUUCGCCAAAUUUAAAAUCCUGAAAGUUUGACUUUGGUCGGACCAUGGAUAUUGCUGCACAGAAAUGAGGAGGAAGGAGGACAUUCUGUUUCUGCUGUUGAGACAGAGUUUUGUCUGCAGCAGUGAAUGUUAGAUGCACACAGCCUGAGGAGCAGUCAGCAAAGGAAACAGUGAUGAACUGAGGUCCAGGAAAGGCAGUGGCAGGAGCACCACUUUUCAGUUCCAGCUCCCAAAACUAAACACAUUAUUUCUUUAGCAGUUACUUAAUAUUAAAUACUGACAUACUUGGGCUAUUCACCAUCCCAGACAGGUGAUGAACAAUAAUAUU